This 465-nucleotide ribosomal RNA is filed under the name Vreelandella stevensii. RNAcentral's name for it is "partial 16S ribosomal RNA". It matches the Rfam family "Bacterial small subunit ribosomal RNA", at positions 338 to 795 of the family's 1533-position model. Lineage: Bacteria; Pseudomonadati; Pseudomonadota; Gammaproteobacteria; Oceanospirillales; Halomonadaceae. The record is from RNAcentral.
CCUACGGGAGGCAGCAGUGGGGAAUAUUGGACAAUGGGGGCAACCCUGAUCCAGCCAUGCCGCGUGUGUGAAGAAGGCCCUCGGGUUGUAAAGCACUUUCAGUGAGGAAGAACGCCUGGUGGUUAAUACCCAUCAGGAAAGACAUCACUCACAGAAGAAGCACCGGCUAACUCCGUGCCAGCAGCCGCGGUAAUACGGAGGGUGCGAGCGUUAAUCGGAAUUACUGGGCGUAAAGCGCGCGUAGGUGGCUUGAUAAGCCGGUUGUGAAAGCCCCGGGCUCAACCUGGGAACGGCAUCCGGAACUGUCAAGCUAGAGUGCAGGAGAGGAAGGUAGAAUUCCCGGUGUAGCGGUGAAAUGCGUAGAGAUCGGGAGGAAGACCAGUGGCGAAGGCGGCCUUCUGGACUGACACUGACACUGAGGUGCGAAAGCGUGGGUAGCAAACAGGAUUAGAUACCCCUGUAGUC